GUCAUAUUGUGCUGCUCCUGCACCAUGUUAACAGCAAUCUCGAUGAGUGCAAUCGCUACCAAUGGUGUUGUACCAGGUGACUGAUCAUGUCAGUUGGAAUGCUGCUACUGAAUCUUAUCCUGUUUAAGGUGGCCAACUGUGAUUGAAUGUAUUCCUGGAGGCUUCAUCCCGUGACUUGCCUGCACACUCCAGCUCUUAGUCAGCCAACACAUCAAUCCUGUGACACCCUGCCUUCCUACAACAACUAGAAAAUAAAAUUAUUCUUCACUCAAAUGGAUGAUGCUUAAUUGUCAGCCUUUCUUCCCAUCUUCAAUAUUUUCUAAUCUAUUAAAGAGAAACCUUCAAAGUGACUGACUAAAAGAAUUUUAUUUAAUGGCCCAAUGAUUAUUCUCCAGGGCUGCACACAGCAAUGUCGUGACUACUGAUCUUCAGUUCCUAGAGACUCCAUGUCAGUCCUGGAUAGUUGGCAACUCAAGACCUGGGUUAUUAUAACUCCUGGUCCUUAUUCAAAUCCCACUGGUAGUAAAACCAUACUGCCCAGAGACUGUCUGCCAAAACCAGGGGAGUGGUGAGAUUUAAUUUUUCUUUAUUCUUUCAGGAACUGUGAAUGUCACUGGCUCGACUAGCAUUUACUGCCCAUCUCUAGUUGCCCUUGAACAGAGUGGCUUGACCAUCCAUUUCUGAGGACAGUUAAAAGUCAGUCACACUGUUAUGGAUCUGCAGUCACAUCUAGAUUAUACCAGGUAAGGACAAUAGAUUGUCCUUCCCUAAAAACAGUACCGAAUCAGACUGGCUUUAACAACUGACAAUGAUUUCAUGGCCACUAUUAGACAAACCUUUCCUUCCAGAGUUCACUGAUUGUGUUCAAAUUUUACUAGUUGUCAUGAUGGGAUUUGAACACAUUUUCCCAGACCAUUAAACUGGGCCUCUGGAUUAAUAGUUUAGUGACUACCUUCCCCUUCAACUGAUAGGUGCUUUGAUAUUACAGAUAUCUGUGAUCAAUCCAGCAUAUACCUUCAAUUGAGUUAAAUGAUAGCAUCAGUGUAACAUUAUGCCAAGUGAUAUUUCUUUAUAAAGAUAUCAGCUCAAUCUCAAGUGCAGACUGCUGCAAUUUCUAAUCCAUUGGGCAAGUCAGUUAGUCAACCAGCUUGAGUCCAGAUGACAUCAGUGUCAGUCAUCAGUAAUACUUUACAUUCAUGUAUGUACAGUUCUACAUUUAUGUUUUCAGUUGGCACAAGAAUUGAGAAAAUAUUUGCUUAAUCAUAUCUAAAAUGAA
This is a non-coding RNA of Chiloscyllium plagiosum (whitespotted bambooshark), 1276 nucleotides long. The record is from RefSeq and is a predicted model, not a curated record. Lineage: Eukaryota; Metazoa; Chordata; Chondrichthyes; Orectolobiformes; Hemiscylliidae.